This 460-nucleotide ribosomal RNA is filed under the name uncultured bacterium. RNAcentral's name for it is "partial 16S ribosomal RNA". It matches the Rfam family "Bacterial small subunit ribosomal RNA", at positions 338 to 795 of the family's 1533-position model. The record is from RNAcentral.
CCUACGGGUGGCAGCAGUGAGGAAUAUUGGUCAAUGGACGAGAGUCUGAACCAGCCAAGUAGCGUGAAGGAUGACUGCCCUAUGGGUUGUAACCUUCUUUUAUAUGGGAAUAAAAUGUUCCACGUGUGGGAUUUUGUAUGUACCAUAUGAAUAAGGAUCGGCUAACUCCGUGCCAGCAGCCGCGGUAAUACGGAGGAUCCGAGCGUUAUCCGGAUUUAUUGGGUUUAAAGGGAGCGUAGGUGGAUUGUUAAGUCAGUUGUGAAAGUUUGCGGCUCAACCGUAAAAUUGCAGUUGAAACUGACGCCCUUGAGUGAGUGAGAAGUAAGCGGAAUGCGUGGUGUAGCGGUGAAAUGCAUAGAUAUCACGCAGAACGCCGAUUGCGAAGGCAGCUUACCGGCGCUCAACUGACGCUGAGGCACGAAAGUGCGGGUAUCGAACAGGAUUAGAUACCCCUGUAGUC